UUUUUAGUAUGAAGAACUUAAAAUUUUAUAUUUAAUUUAUUUAUUGUUAAAACUAUAUUAAAUUAUUGCUAAAGAAAUUUGUAUAAUGUACUAAAUGUGACUAUAUGAAAAAAUCCAAAGUUUGAAUAAUACAUAUGAGUUAACUUAAAAACUGAGCUAAAAAUUGUGAAGGAAAAUAUUUGCACACUGAAACUUAUUGAAAUUUUUACAAGAACUAAAAAUAAAAUUUUGAGAUAUUUUAUAAGGACUAAAAUUUUAUUUAUUACUUUUUUUCUUUUUUUUUCUUAUAUAUAUAUAUAUAUAUAUAUAUAUAUAUAUAUAUAUAUAU
Molecule: long non-coding RNA, 328 nt
Filed under: Trifolium pratense (red clover)
Lineage: Eukaryota; Viridiplantae; Streptophyta; Magnoliopsida; Fabales; Fabaceae
Description: long non-coding RNA (TPRA_LNC012583)
Source: RNAcentral